UACGGGGGGGGGCAAGCGUUGUUCGGAAUUACUGGGCGUAAAGGGCUCGUAGGCGGCCAACUAAGUCGGACGUGAAAUCCCCAGGCUCAACCUGGGAACUGCGUCUGAUACUGGAUGGCUUGAAUCCGGGAGAGGGAUGCAGAAUUCCAGGUGUAGCGGUGAAAUGCGUAGAUAUCUGGAGGAAUACCGGUGGCGAAGGCGGCAUCCUGGACCGGCAUUGACGCUGAGGAGCGAAAGCCAGGGGAGCAAAGCGGG
This 255-nucleotide ribosomal RNA is filed under the name uncultured bacterium. Its description in RNAcentral is "partial 16S ribosomal RNA". It matches the Rfam family "Bacterial small subunit ribosomal RNA", at positions 524 to 777 of the family's 1533-position model. The record is from RNAcentral.